UACGGGGGGAGCAAGCGUUGUUCGGAUUUACUGGGCGUAAAGGGCGCGUAGGCGGCCUCUUAAGUCGAACGUGAAAUCCCCGGGCUCAACCCGGGAACUGCGUCCGAUACUGGGGGGCUUGAAUCCGGGAGAGGGAUGUGGAAUUCCAGGUGUAGCGGUGAAAUGCGUAGAUAUCUGGAGGAACACCGGUGGCGAAGGCGGCAUCCUGGACCGGUAUUGACGCUGAGGCGCGAAAGCCAGGGGAGCAAACGGG
RNAcentral lists this ribosomal RNA (253 nucleotides) under uncultured bacterium. RNAcentral's name for it is "partial 16S ribosomal RNA". It matches the Rfam family "Bacterial small subunit ribosomal RNA", at positions 524 to 776 of the family's 1533-position model. The record is from RNAcentral.